RNAcentral lists this ribosomal RNA (483 nucleotides) under uncultured bacterium. Its description in RNAcentral is "partial 16S ribosomal RNA". It matches the Rfam family "Bacterial small subunit ribosomal RNA", at positions 28 to 507 of the family's 1533-position model. The record is from RNAcentral.
GACGAACGCUGGCGGCGUGCUUAACACAUGCAAGUCGAACGCUGAAGCUCAGCUUUUGUUGGGUGGAUGAGUGGCGAACGGGUGAGUAACACGUGAGUAACCUGCCCCCUUCUUUGGGAUAACGCCCGGAAACGGGUGCUAAUACUGGAUAUUCACUGGUCUUCGCAUGGGGGUUGGUGGAAAGGGUUUUUCUGGUGGGGGAUGGGCUCGCGGCCUAUCAGCUUGUUGGUGGGGUGAUGGCCUACCAAGGCUUUGACGGGUAGCCGGCCUGAGAGGGUGACCGGUCACAUUGGGACUGAGAUACGGCCCAGACUCCUACGGGAGGCGGCAGUGGGGAAUAUUGCACAAUGGGCGCAAGCCUGAUGCAGCGACGCCGCGUGAGGGAUGGAGGCCUUCGGGUUGUGAACCUCUUUCGCUCAUGGCCAAGCCGCAACAAUGGUUGUGGUGAGGGUAGUGGGUAAAGAAGCGCCGGCUAACUACGUG